RNAcentral lists this ribosomal RNA (305 nucleotides) under uncultured bacterium. Its description in RNAcentral is "bacterial SSU rRNA". It matches the Rfam family "Bacterial small subunit ribosomal RNA", at positions 337 to 659 of the family's 1533-position model. The record is from RNAcentral.
ACCUACGGGGGGCAGCAGUGGGGAAUAUUGCACAAUGGGGGGAACCCUGAUGCAGCGACGCCGCGUGAGUGAAGAAGUAUUUCGGUAUGUAAAGCUCUAUCAGCAGGGAAGAUAAUGACGGUACCUGACUAAGAAGCCCCGGCUAACUACGUGCCAGCAGCCGCGGUAAUACGUAGGGGGCAAGCGUUAUCCGGAUUUACUGGGUGUAAAGGGUGCGUAGGUGGCAGGGCAAGUCAGAUGUGAAAGCCCGGGGCCCAACCCCGGUACUGCAUUUGAAACUGUUUUUCUUGAGUACUGGAGAGGCA